ACGAACGCUGGCGGCGUGCUUAACACAUGCAAGUCGAACGGAAAGGCCCUGCUUUUGUGGGGUGCUCGAGUGGCGAACGGGUGAGUAACACGUGAGUAACCUGCCCUUGACUUUGGGAUAACUUCAGGAAACUGGGGCUAAUACCGGAUAGGAGCUCCUGCUGCAUGGUGGGGGUUGGAAAGUUUCGGCGGUUGGGGAUGGACUCGCGGCUUAUCAGCUUGUUGGUGGGGUAGUGGCUUACCAAGGCUUUGACGGGUAGCCGGCCUGAGAGGGUGACCGGCCACAGUGGGACUGAGAUACGGCCCAGACUCCUACGGGAGGCAGCAGUGGGGAAUAUUGCACAAUGGGCGGAAGCCUGAUGCAGCAACGCCGCGUGCGGGAUGACGGCCUUCGGGUUGUAAACCGCUUUCGCCUGUGACGAAGCGUGAGUGACGGUAAUGGGUAAAGAAGCACCGGCUAACUACGUG
This 467-nucleotide ribosomal RNA is filed under the name uncultured bacterium. Its description in RNAcentral is "partial 16S ribosomal RNA". It matches the Rfam family "Bacterial small subunit ribosomal RNA", at positions 29 to 507 of the family's 1533-position model. The record is from RNAcentral.